This 967-nucleotide long non-coding RNA is filed under the name Homo sapiens (human). Its description in RNAcentral is "HSALNT0376389". Lineage: Eukaryota; Metazoa; Chordata; Mammalia; Primates; Hominidae. The record is from RNAcentral.
CAUGCUGAUAAGAAAAGGAAGACCAACUUUUAGUUGGUUUUAGUAAACUUUUUAAAUUCUUUAUAGACAAUGCAUCCCUUUAAUCUCUGUACUUUUAAGUGGACCAUUCCCACUGCCCCCAGCCUUGGUACACCACUUCCUCACAGCAUGGCUGUUUCCAGAGAGUUGGACUUUUUGCCUCAUGACUAGCCUCCCCCAGAGCCUUCCAGGAAGAAAGGCAAAAUCUGUGAGCCUUCUUAUGACCUAGCCUCAGAAGCCACAGAGCAUUGCAUCCCCUGCACUCUGUGGGGGCAAAAGCAAGUUGGAGGACCAUCCUGGAUUCAUGGGGAGAAGACCAAACAAGUGUGAGUGCUGGAAAGGAGACUUCCCUGUGGGCCAGCUUUGGAGAUGAGUGACCACAUUCUCCAUUACCAUUUGCUCCACGUGGUUCAGAACCACAUGAUUAUUUAACCAAAGCUCGGGUUGACUACACUUCAACUAACUGGAACCUACUGUAACGGCCCAGACCAUAAGAAAUUGGCAGCUUCGACUUUAUAUCUCUUGGAACACUCACUCAUGGAAUCCAGCCACCAUCCUGUGAGGAAGCCUAAGCAGGCCCACAGAAAGCCCCUUGUCGAGAAGAACCAAGGACCGUGGCCAACAGCCUCCAUCCGGUUCCCAGCUGACAGCCAACACCAAGUUGCCAGCCAUGUGAGCCCUGUUGGAAGUGAAUCCCCCAGCCUCAGUCUACAGCUGACACCAGUUAGAAGCAGCAUUCCAACAAGAAGAUCCACAAGAUGAAUUUGCAAAUAGCAGUUUCCAAACUUUUGAAUUGUUCAACCUGAGCAACAGUUCCAUCUCCAUGAAUACUUCACAUAUUGUUUAUCCUGCUCUUAAAUGUUACCUGAUUCUGCUACUACAAAUCAAUCAAAGAACUGGUGAUUUGUCUUGGGGUCUUAAAUUAAUUUUGAGCAGCUCUGCAAGCUGU